UGCAAGUCGAGCGGUAGAGAGGAGCUUGCUUCUCUUGAGAGCGGCGGACGGGUGAGUAAUGCCUAGGAAUCUGCCUAGUGGUGGGGGAUAACGUUCGGAAACGGACGCUAAUACCGCAUACGUCCUACGGGAGAAAGCGGGGGAUCUUCGGACCUCGCGCCAUUAGAUGAGCCUAGGUCGGAUUAGCUAGUUGGUGAGGUAAUGGCUCACCAAGGCGACGAUCCGUAACUGGUCUGAGAGGAUGAUCAGUCACACUGGAACUGAGACACGGUCCAGACUCCUACGGGAGGCAGCAGUGGGGAAUAUUGGACAAUGGGCGAAAGCCUGAUCCAGCCAUGCCGCGUGUGUGAAGAAGGUCUUCGGAUUGUAAAGCACUUUAAGUUGGGAGGAAGGGUUGUAGAUUAAUACUCUGCAAUUUUGACGUUACCGACAGAAUAAGCACCGGCUAACUCUGUGCCAGCAGCCGCGGUAAUACAGAGGGUGCAAGCGUUAAUCGGAAUUACUGGGCGUAAAGCGCGCGUAGGUGGUUUGUUAAGUCGGAUGUGAAAUCCCAGGGCUCAACCUUGGAAUUGCACCCGAUACUGGCAGGCUAGAGUACGGUAGAGGGGUGUGGAAUUUCCUGUGUAGCGGUGAAAUGCGUAGAUAUAGGAAGGAACAUCAGUGGCGAAGGCGACACCCUGGACCGAUACUGACACUGAGGUGCGAAAGCGUGGGGAGCAAACAGGAUUAGAUACCCUGGUAGUCCACGCCGUAAACGAUGUCUACUAGCCGUUGGGGAUUUAUUUCUUUAGUGGCGCAGCUAACGCGAUAAGUAGACCGCCUGGGGAGUACGACCGCAAGGUUAAAACUCAAAUGAAUUGACGGGGGCCCGCACAAGCGG
RNAcentral lists this ribosomal RNA (880 nucleotides) under uncultured Pseudomonas sp. Its description in RNAcentral is "bacterial SSU rRNA". It matches the Rfam family "Bacterial small subunit ribosomal RNA", at positions 56 to 932 of the family's 1533-position model. The record is from RNAcentral. Lineage: Bacteria; Pseudomonadati; Pseudomonadota; Gammaproteobacteria; Pseudomonadales; Pseudomonadaceae.